This 74-nucleotide transfer RNA is filed under the name Candidatus Aceula meridiana. RNAcentral describes it as "tRNA-Val". It matches the Rfam family "tRNA". Rfam says of the family: Transfer RNA (tRNA) molecules are approximately 80 nucleotides in length. Their secondary structure includes four short double-helical elements and three loops (D, anti-codon, and T loops). RNAcentral also lists the same sequence under 1 other name. Lineage: Bacteria; Pseudomonadati; Candidatus Omnitrophota. The record is from RNAcentral.
GGGCUCAUAGCUCAGUUGGUUAGAGUACUUGCAUGACAUGCAAGGUGUCCGAGGUUCGAGUCCUCGUGGGCCCA